GCCCGGGUGGCGAAACUGGUAGACGCACCAGCUUGAGGGGCUGGCGCCCGCAAGGGUGUGCAGGUUCGAAUCUUGUCCCGGGCA
Molecule: transfer RNA, 84 nt
Filed under: Chitinophagales bacterium
Lineage: Bacteria; Pseudomonadati; Bacteroidota; Chitinophagia; Chitinophagales
Rfam family: tRNA
About the family: Transfer RNA (tRNA) molecules are approximately 80 nucleotides in length. Their secondary structure includes four short double-helical elements and three loops (D, anti-codon, and T loops).
Source: Rfam by way of RNAcentral